This 75-nucleotide transfer RNA is filed under the name Bradyrhizobium sp. CB3481. Its description in RNAcentral is "tRNA-Val". It matches the Rfam family "tRNA". From Rfam's summary of the family: Transfer RNA (tRNA) molecules are approximately 80 nucleotides in length. Lineage: Bacteria; Pseudomonadati; Pseudomonadota; Alphaproteobacteria; Hyphomicrobiales; Nitrobacteraceae. The record is from RNAcentral.
GCGCGCUUAGCUCAGCGGGAGAGCGCCUGCUUCACAUGCAGGAUGUCGGCCGUUCGAUCCGGCCAGCGUGCACCA